UCAUUAGAGCGGAUGAAUGUAGCUUGCUACUGGAUUCAGCGGCGGACGGGUGAGUAAUGCUUAGGAAUCUGCCUAUUNGUGGGGGACAACGUUCCGAAGGGAGCGCUAAUACCGCUUACGUCCUACGGGAGAAAGCAGGGGACCUUCGGGCCUUGCGCUAAUAGAUGAGCCUAAUUCGGAUUAGNUAGUUGGUAGGGUAAAGGCCUACCAAGGCGACGAUCUGUAGNGAGGUCUGAGAGGAUGAUCCGCCACACUGGGACUGAGACACGGCCCAGACUCCUACGGNAAGGCAGCGGUGGGGAAUAUUGGAUAAUGGGGGGAACCCUGAUCCAGCCAUGCCGCGUGUGUGAAGAAGGCCUUUUGGUUGUAAAGCACUUUAAGCGAGGAGGAGGCUACCUGGAUUAAUACUUUAGGAUAGUGGACGUUACUCGCAGAAUAAGCACCGGCUAACUCUGUGCCAGCAGCCGCGGUAAUACAGAGGGUGCGAGCGUUAAUCGGAUUUACUGGGCGUAAAGCGUGCGUAGGCGGCCAAUUAAGUCAAAUGUGAAAUCCCCGAGCUUAACUUGGGAAUUGCAUUCGAUACUGGUUGGCUAGAGUAUGGGAGAGGAUGGUAGAAUUCCAGGUGUAGCGGUGAAAUGCGUAGAGAUCUGGAGGAAUACCGAUGGCGAAGGCAGCCAUCUGGCCUAAUACUGACGCUGAGGUACGAAAGCAUGGGGAGCAAACAGGAUUAGAUACCCUGGUAGUCCAUGCCGUAAACGAUGUCUACUAGCCGUUGGGGCCCUUGAGGCUUUAGUGGCGCA
RNAcentral lists this ribosomal RNA (800 nucleotides) under Acinetobacter sp. RNAcentral describes it as "bacterial SSU rRNA". It matches the Rfam family "Bacterial small subunit ribosomal RNA", at positions 62 to 850 of the family's 1533-position model. Lineage: Bacteria; Pseudomonadati; Pseudomonadota; Gammaproteobacteria; Moraxellales; Moraxellaceae. The record is from RNAcentral.